Molecule: transfer RNA, 71 nt
Filed under: bovine gut metagenome
Rfam family: tRNA
About the family: Transfer RNA (tRNA) molecules are approximately 80 nucleotides in length. Their secondary structure includes four short double-helical elements and three loops (D, anti-codon, and T loops).
Source: RNAcentral
GCGCUGUAGCUCAGUUGGUAGAGCAGCGGACUGAAAAUCCGUGUGUCACUGGUUCAACUCCAGUCAGUGCC